Molecule: ribosomal RNA, 468 nt
Filed under: uncultured bacterium
Lineage: Bacteria
Description: partial 16S ribosomal RNA
Rfam family: Bacterial small subunit ribosomal RNA
Source: RNAcentral
GAUGAACGCUGGCGGCGUGCUUAAUACAUGCAAGUCGAACGGAAAGGCCCUGCUCUUGCGGGGCGCUCGUGUGGCGAAAGGGUGAGAAAAACGCGUGUAAACUGUACCUGUAUUUGGGAUAACUCUAGGAAAAUGGGGCUAAUACCGGAUAGGAGCUCCUGCUGCACGGUGGGGGUUGGAGAGUUUCGGCGGUUGGGGAUGGACUCGCGGCUUAUCAGCUUGUUGGUGGGGUAGUGGCUUACCAAGGCUUUGACGGGUAGCAGGCCUGGGAGGGUGACCGGCCACAUUAGUACUGAGGGACGGCCCAGACUCCAACGGUAGGCAGCAGUGGAGAGUAUUGCGCAAUAGGCGGGAGCCUGAUACAGCGACGCCGCGUGCGGGAUGACGUCCUUCGGGGUAUAAACCACUUUCUCCUGUAACGAAGCGUGAGUGACGGUAAUGGGUAAGAAAGCACCGGCUAACUACGUG